GGUGGUUCUGCGCGUGGUGCAGCGACCGUGGGCCUGACGGCGAGGAGGUGGACGAAGCGAUUAUGCGUGGAACAAUCGUCGGCAAUUUAUUUACCAUGUGCGCUUCAGAUUGACAGAGAUGAGACCCUCCUCAUGCUCAGGCACGUGCUCUGAGCGGUUGUUGGUGGUUCAAGAGAAGUGACGUAGCAAAUCGGUGAUGAUUUCAAGCUAUUGUGUUUUGUCUGACGAGUCGAUUUCUUAAGUCGAUAAAGAUGCGUUGAAUUAAAGCUUCUUGUACGAUUUGUGAAGGUGAUUGUUGAGCGUCAAGUUGUUGUUGUAUUGACUAACCGCUGGAUUAUUGUUGCUUUUUUGGCAGGUUUUAUGAUGAUGGAACUGUGAAUAUGUUUAAUUGAUGGAUUAGUGGUUUUACGCUAAUGGAUGAAGGUUCUGCAGAAGGAUUGGGAAGAAGUAACGUUACAGCUUGUGAUGGAGAAUUGGUUGAUGAAAAGGUUGAAAAUAUGGAUCAAUUUUCUGGAAUUCUGGUGAACAUGGUUCAGGUUUUAAGGAAGAUUGCAAUUAACGGUUUGGAGGAAGUUUGAGAUUAAUUUUGGUGGAGUGACAACACUAUUUUCUUCCUUUCUUGUGUGAAAUUGUUCGCGAUGAAAAGUGUAUAUAAAAAAAGGAUGGUGUGAACUCCUUUUGUACGUGAGGGAUUGAGAGUGUAUGAAAGUGAAUAAGGGUUGUAUGAGUUACCAAUAGUGGGAAUAGGUUAGGUUUUUCUCUCCCUUUUGUGAAUUAUGGCUCCUCUUUUUAUAGCAUAGCUUUUAGGGUUUUUUAAUGUGUAACUUGGGCCUUACUAAAAAAUAGACAAUGGACCUCUGGAGAUUUCUUGGA
Long non-coding RNA from Vicia villosa (hairy vetch), 873 nucleotides. RefSeq lists it as uncharacterized. The record is from RefSeq and is a predicted model, not a curated record. The transcript has 2 exons. Lineage: Eukaryota; Viridiplantae; Streptophyta; Magnoliopsida; Fabales; Fabaceae.